This 471-nucleotide ribosomal RNA is filed under the name uncultured bacterium. Its description in RNAcentral is "partial 16S ribosomal RNA". It matches the Rfam family "Bacterial small subunit ribosomal RNA", at positions 28 to 507 of the family's 1533-position model. The record is from RNAcentral.
GACGAACGCUGGCGGCGUGCUUAACACAUGCAAGUCGAACGAUGAAGCGGUGCUUGCACCGUGGAUUAGUGGCGAACGGGUGAGUAAUACGUGAGUGACCUACCUUUGACUCUGGGAUAAGCCUGGGAAACUGGGUCUAAUACCGGAUACGACCAAUCUCUGCAUGGGGCGUUGGUGGAAAGCGUUAUGGAGUGGUUUUAGAUGGGCUCACGGCCUAUCAGCUUGUUGGUGAGGUAAUGGCUUACCAAGGCGACGACGGGUAGCCGGCCUGAGAGGGUGACCGGCCACACUGGGACUGAGACACGGCCCAGACUCCUACGGGAGGCAGCAGUGGGGAAUAUUGCACAAUGGGCGCAAGCCUGAUGCAGCGACGCCGCGUGAGGGAUGACGGCCUUCGGGUUGUAAACCUCUGUUAGCAUCGAAGAAGCGAAAGUGACGGUAGGUGCAGAGAAAGCGCCGGCUAACUACGUG